CAUAACAAUGGACAGUAGUGAAUUUCGAGAAACAUGCUCUCCAGCCAUCUUUGGCACGGAGCGACAGCUUUAAAUUGGAGUUUAAGCAGUUUAGUUUCAGGUAGCCUAGCUGUAAAUUAAAACCCGACUAAACUGGAGAGUAGCUUAAUCUAAUUAUUGACUGUUUCACUGGAGAGCAGAAGGCUCGCACGAAGUUGGUUCGCGGGAAGCGAAGUGAAAGCACUGUAAAACGCUGCUUGCGAGGCGAGGAGAAUGAGAGGCUUCCUCGGUCGACGCCACUACAAAUUACAAACGUUGCUGAAGACAAAACAUCUUAUACGAAAGAAAAAAAGAAUAUUUACUUACCAGACAUAUUGGCCUGAAAAGGAGGAAAACUCUGGAAGAACUACAGUGAAAUACCCCAACGUCAGUUCUUUGCUCUAUUAUAUGGGCAAGAACGAAUUAUUCACAAAAGUCUCAAAAAGUCUCAACAAAGUAACCUCAAAACACUCUCAGGACAUACAAUUAUACAGUAAUAUAGCUAGGGAUAUUUUAGUUUGAGUUUUUCUCCUCUCAUCCCUACUAUUUAAAACCCCAAGAACUCAAUGAUUUGACAAUGAUUUGAUUGCGCGAUACUUUCAAUUUGAAUAUUCAAAGGCUUCGUAAAAAGACUUAUUUCUGAGUGAUAUUCGCUAUUACAGUGCAUAUAAUAACAUCUCUUUUAAUAGAAUGUUGUGUUAUUUCACAUUUUGACAUCAACCAAAUAUAUAUUUUUAACAUUUUAUCAUCCUUUUGCUGUUGGUGGUUGGAGUCUCCCUUAGAAGCAAUAUUUCAACUUUGCAGUGAGACUGAAGGCACAAAUGAAGCUUUACAUGCCAUGACACAUUGUAAAUAGCUUCUCUAAUACGUAGUCUUGGAAAAAAAAUUAAUUAUUGCGUCGUGUAGAUCAUAUUUAUGCAGUAUUUUAAGAAUUAUUGGAGUUGUGGGCGUGGCAUAUGAAAGCAGCCAUGUUUGUCAUUAGAACAAUUGGGACGUCUGCUGAAGUCAGGUUACUGGGAUAGUGGAGGCAGGUAUAAGAAGGCUAAAUAUGAAAUUUAUUCAGUUAUAUUUAUAUAUUUAAUUCAAAGGGUCAGUUGCUGCAGUUGUUGAAGGUCAAAAGCAAGUUAACUGAAAGCGAUGUUCACAACACUUAUAUGCUAUUAAUUUCCUUUCUCACGGUAUUUUCUGUUUCAAUGCAAUAGAUUCAUUAAUCAAUGCAAAUUUAUCAACAUUAUCAUCAUCACCAUCAUCAUAUAGAUCCCCAAAAUAAAUAUAAGUGGUUUGAUGCGGAGUGAUGCUCAUCACAAACAGAAUCUCACACACCUGAUUUUACUCCUAAUUUAGGCCUAAUUUAAACGAAAAAGCUCCAAGAGGCAUAUUUACAUUUCUUAUACCAUAAUGCUGUUGAUUAUUUACAUGUGUCAUAUUUAAUGGUCGCGUAUUUAAGAAGACUGAAAGCGGGCAGAAUUGAUGACAUGCAGGUGUUCUUUGUCUUAGAAAAGAAGUCGGGUCCUUGUGACAUGUAGUACAGACAAACUGAACAUUUCGUUCGCAAGUGCAGAAUAUUUGUAAAUUAAAUUAUGGAUAAAACAUGGAGUACUUUAUAAACACGUCUUUAAUCAUCUUGAAUAUAGUCCUAAUUCAACUGUGUCUUGGUGGGAUUUCUAAAGGAUGUCCUUUGUGAAAUUGAUUUGAAAAGUUAAACCGCUGCAAACAGACCUCCAAUUUCAAAAUAUUACUUAAUUACCAGUCUCUUAUUAUCAGUCACCUUGAUGAACAGAUCUUUUAUAAUCCUAAGAAAUCUCCAAGAAACCUCCAAGAAACACUUCAACCGUGUUGGAGAGGUCGGUUCUUACGAGAUGUGGCCAGUUGAAUGUCGCCCCCUGGUGAUUAAACCGGGGAACGCUUAGGUCCUGUCACCAGACCUCCAUUUAUAUGUCAUCUAACUAUGCUGGGGUGCGUUUCCCGAAAGCAUCGUUAGUGAACUAUGGUCGUAAGUCCCAUUGAACUCUAUUGGUAACGACGGAACUUACGACCAUAGUUCGCUUUGGGAAACGCACCCCUGGUCUGACACGGUUUAUUAAGAGUCACUUAAUGCACUCAGUUUGGCAAUACAUUUAAUAAUAAUAAAAAAAUCAGCAAAUUUUCCAAAUUUUUCCCAUGCAGAGGUAAAUUCUACUGGAUUGAAGAUAUAAACUAGAGGAAGAAUCUAAAUUCAUGCAAGAAUGUUUUUGAACAAUAAAUAAUAAUUAGUUUUGAAUAAAGUGAACAAUUUAAAAUGACACAAAAAAAACCCCCAAUGUAUAAAAAACAAUUGCUGUGUGUGUUUGUGUGAGUGUUAGUGUUCCAUAAGGGUUCAGUCACUAGCAAUGUUAUCACAUAAAAAAUUCUGGAUGGAAAUGCCAAGAGGCGCACAAAUUCUAAAAAUGUGCACAAAAAAAAUGUAUGUGCUCAAUUGAGAUGAUGUUUUUAUUCAUGCGCAUAAACUAUGAUGAAAACACAUUUACCAAAUAAAUCCCUCAAUACGCAACAAAAAACUUGUGUGACUUUGCCUUAACAGGGGGUGUGACUGAUAACUGGAUUAAUUGGAAUCAUCAUAAGGGGUUGAUUAGCAUAUAAGCACAUAAUAUAUCAUAGGUUACCAAUUUCUCCAUUUUAUAUGGUACAUUUUUUUACUGACAAUUCCUGUGAGACUUUUUAGAAUUAAAACAGAGAAAAAAAUCAAAUAAUAAUGUAAAAGAUUUCCCCCCUUAUUUUAUUUAGAUUUUUUUCUUCUAUAAUGUUGUAUGUGAAUAUACAGGGAAUAUACUGUGAAUCUGUGAGGCAUUAAAACUUGAUUUAAUGAUUUGGUGUAAUUGUCUUGAAAAUGUUUGUACAUUUAAUUUUUAAUAAAAGGUUUGAGUUUUCAUUGCA
This is a long non-coding RNA of Megalobrama amblycephala (Wuchang bream), 2931 nucleotides long. RefSeq lists it as uncharacterized. The transcript is spliced from 2 exons. The record is from RefSeq and is a predicted model, not a curated record. NCBI's taxonomy places the organism in Eukaryota, Metazoa, Chordata, Actinopteri, Cypriniformes, Xenocyprididae.